AACCCAGAGUCUGAGUCAUCAUCUAUAGCCACUGUCAUGAUAUAGUCAAUCACGAUGAUGAACAAGUAUGAGGUGUCUCUUUGCAGUACUCCCGAAUCCCGAUCCUACCAGGACUUCGAAGACCCCUGUAAUACCAUCUAUUCUGGUAUACCAUUUGCUUUAAGUAUCUUAAUAACUCUGACUUACUUGACUUAAGGCGGCUUCAGCGUCCGAGUAUUGAUGCGCUGUCUCCAUAAAACUCUAUCCGCCAUAAGUCCGCCCAUUUCUCCAGUGUCGUUGAGACCCGUGUCAGCUCGUAGGCUAUCAACAUAAGUCAUGGCUGGUCUUAAUAAGCAAACCUUUAUGUACACUGUCAAAGGCUUUAUUAAAAUCUAUAAACACCAUAGUGGCCUUCACACUCAUGGCCUUUAGACCCUAUAUAAUUCUUCACAGAACAAGAAUGUGCGAAGUUGUAGAGCAACCAGGUCUGAAGCCAUUCUGGUUGUCUCUUAGUUCUUCUUCAAGUCUUUGCUUCAUCCUGCUCAGCAUUUUGAUUAGAGUUUUACUUUUUGUUUCUGAUUUCUAGAAAAUCAUAAGACGUGGCACUUGGUAGCACUCUGUUUGCAAUAACUACCUACUAAUGAUAUCCAUUACCCAUGACAUGUAUAGUUUCUUUUAGGGGUUAUAGAGGUGUCAGGAUUUUAGUAUCCACAGCAAUAUAUAGGUGAUCUGGAACUCAAUCUUAUCAAUACUCCUACAUGAUUUUAUGGAGUGAUUGUUGCAGUGAAUGAAUUUAAUAUAUAUUUGUGUUAAAUUCCUAUUUUGGACUCUUAAACUCUUUAAUUUUAUAUGUUAUUGGAUUGAACCAAGUAACAUGUUACUCUAGCGAGAUCUCCAUCCAAAAAGAUUAGUCUGCGCGAGCUGUUUUAUUACUUUACUUAUACAUCUUCGGAGGGUAGGUAACAUUUCUACUACAUUUAAGCUCUUCCUAUAGACCUGCCUCUUGAUCUCUUCCUAUUUUUGGGUUGUCAUUCAAGUAGACAGUUGGGUAACCGAUCUUCAGGCAUUCUACUGACAAGUCCAAAGCAAUGCAGCUAUUUUGUUGUAAGUAUGUCAGUAAGGGAAGUUAUUAAUGCCCUUCUUAAAACAUCCCUUGGACCAAGAGGAAGAUUAAGUGAGUGUGUAAUGUCACCAGACAGUAACCACCAACUCUAUUCAAAGAUUCAAGAUCCACUUGUCACAGAAAAAUAUUCGAAGAGAUUCUUUCAGAUAUUAUAGUAUAUAGUACAUUAAAAAUUCAAGGUGUUAUAUUAUUAUAACCUGAUCUUGCCCUCCGGGGUCCCAUCAUAAGCACAUUCAACUUAAUCUUAUUCUUUACCUAGAUGUUACCUGUAAAUCGCAGAACUGGUUGGACAAUGGACAUCAAGACUACUGUCACAGCCUGGUGACCUAGAGCUAAAUGAGCUACUGUUUCCUGUGUAGACCUCCCAGAUGCUGGACAGGCUAGGAUGUUCCUCGCCUUGCAUGGUGGGCUGAACAUGGAGCUACCGAAAGCUGCGAAUCAUUUAGAAAUAAACUCAAAUGCAGCAGACAGACAGAAGCAUUAGUUUGAGUUAAGUUGUAAAGCUUCUUUAAACUUUUUCAUCACAAAGAGAAAUUUGUGUUAAAUAGUAGUGGUAAAUUUAAAGGGCGUGUUGGUAGACCUAAUACAAACUUAUAUCAAAUAUGCUUGUUGAUGACCUUAAAUAUAGAAACUUAGAACUUAGAAAUUUGAGUGAUUUAAAUGAAAUAAGGGAUAUUGCUAGCUGUAGGAAGUGUUGGAAACUGUUGUACUAGGCACAGAUUACGUAGUUAAGAUGUUUUCUUAAUGGAGUUCUAUUAACUAUGUAUGAUCCUGUUUUAUAAUAAGAUUAUUUGUAUAGAGUCGUAUAUAAUGUUUCUUCUUAGACUGCCAGAGAGCACAGAAGAUGGCUACUAGACAGCUAAAAUCGAUACUUUACGAGCCACCAGGGGAUGCCUUUUUUCGAUGGAUAAAGUAAGUGCACCGACUUUUGACGCUUAAAAAAGUAAAAAGGACUUUUCACAGAGAUAUUUUGGUACCAUCUUAUGAUGGCCUCUCAUAUGUAUCUUUCGCCUUUCGGAUCAAUUUAUUCCGGUCAACAAAGUUUCCUACUCCAGGCCAUUAAAUUGCUCCGUCAAAAACGCUAUUAUACCGGAGUUUUAUUAUAGUCCGGAGUUGGACGUUUUUCUGUACGCUUAGCUUGUCAAUCUAUGGUGUAGUUACCGUAUAAUAUAAAUGCUGUGAACACAUUUUUCACUUGCUCGUUGACGAGGGUCACGUGAUGGUAGGCGAAUUUGUCAAGUUUAUACGACUAUUGUAAUUGUACAAUAAAAUAUUUAUAUUUUUGUAUCCUUGUAUCCGUGACCUCUGACAGGACACCGGUCAUCUCGCCCAAUUUUCCCGGGAGAAUCAGAUCUCAUGUCAACUAGCGCGUGAUCAUCCCGGCCUGGGUGGUCCACUUGUAAUGUUGUCAAACGGGAACCUCGGCCUCGCACAUCUGGUAGUGAAGUACUGAUUACAGCUGCAGGUCCUCCAAAUUCACGAAGUCCAACAAGUCCUUGUAUGAGCCAUCAGUGUAAAUCACGGUACUUUUCUAAUCAUAAUCGCUUAGCUUGGCAUCAUUCAAUGGACAUUUGUUGUUCAAAAGAAGAAGAGUCAAAAAUGAGAGUGAACGGUGACUGCUUAUUGCAUAAGCUCUUAAAUCUGCUAACCGUACAUAGCUCACGCAGCUGUCUACAGUUGCUGGGCUCGUCCGGGUCAGAAAUUUAAAGUUUACUGCGGCGUGGGGCUACAUCGUCGUUCUGCUGUCGUGUACAUUUAAGAAUGUGGUGUGGAAAGAGUUCUGACUUUUCCUGGAGUAAAGAUAUAUGUCGGCCGUCUUUGUCACGGAGAAGUCUUUAAAGCUUUAAAGCUCUGAGCUUGACCUAUUAAAAGACAAAAGAUACAUUUGCACGUCACGAGUAAUGUGACCUACUGAAAAAAAAGUCGGGCAAUUUGAAAAUUUAGUCAAGUUCACACAUGCACAAUCAACCCCUCAUUGGUGUGAUCCUCUGAUCCGGGAAAUCGAGAUGUCCUCUCACAAACAACAGUUAUUAGUAACAAGCAUAACACGAUUUUCCAAUCUAUUAACGAAGUUUGAGCAUUUAGGGUCAAAGCAGAGACUUGGGUCGAUGUGAAUCGGCUUAAAAAUAACAAAUUUGGGGUAUCUUUAUUUUACAUCUUGGUCGAGACCUGUCACCAGCAAUAUGAUUUCAUGUUGCCUUAUUCAGGCGGGCGAAACUCACGUUACAUGCGAUCUGAUCAUCUGACUCUCACGAUCGAGAUCGGUAGCUUUAACUCACCAGCUCCAACACGGUUUUUUAGACUUUUUUCGGUUUUUCGAGCUGCCCUUCUCCCCUGAGGCCACGAUGAAAAACAUACAAUAUAUUAUAUCUUUAUUCUUUAUAUGUUACAUGCAUUCCCCUGCAGUAGUGAAAAGUAAAUUGUUUGUUUUAUUUCAGUGUCGACAGCUCAAACUAUGGUGGUAUCUUAUCGCUACAAUGCUGCUAACUAGACUCUUGGAUGAAGUUAAGUUGUUUUAGUCAGAUGAUCUACUUUUUGGCGUUUCCUACUGCCCUAGUUAUAGUAGUUCAAGGUUUAACUGUAAAUAUAGUGUUAAGUAAGUUUCAAUACUUCCCUGCCACCUUUUCAGACAUUGCAGAGAUGUGUGACCGCACAAUUCUCAAACCGAAGAAUCAAAAGGAGUUAUUGAUUUAUCGGUAUAUAAAGUAUGUAUGCUUUAUCAAACAAAGCCACUAGGUAAGCAAAUUCAAAUAUUUUGACAGUUCAUACUUCAUACUGCGGUUAUACAUUGCAGCCAAUGCGCAGCAAACAAGAGCUUGCCACGAGCUUGCCACUGCUAUAAGCAUUCGUAUUCGUAGCUUGUUUGAAUCUCAAAUUUAUUCGAAUUAUCAUAAGUAGCCGGAAGCCCGUCCUGCGGACGGAGUUCUUCAGCACAAAAUCGAUUCUCAAACAUUUUAAAUCUACCCUUUCUCAUUUCUACUUCUUUUCCUUUCACAAUUUUCAUGUUUUUUAAAAACUUCUUACCCCUAUCCAUGUCACCUAUGAUUCAUGCAUUUCUAGCUUCUCGGACAGUGCUGUCUUUUCCCUCAUUGGCAAAUCCUGAAAGUUUUAUGAAAAAUAUAGAUCAGAGUUAUGUUUGUUCUGCACGUCUGCAUUUCAGGUAUUCGUGACACAGUUUACGUGUGAUGACGUGGGCAUCUCUCAACACACUUUGCAGCAUGAGCGACGGUGCCCUGGCGGGAUAUCUGGAAAUGUAGCCUUGAGCUCAGUUUAUUUUUCUCCGUCACCUCACCCGGGGGAGGGGGGGGGGGAGCCAAUGACUUUGGGUACUUUGGGGACAAGUGCAGAAUUUCGCCAGCAAUUUAACCUCAAGUCUCCAAGAUUUUUAGCCCCCAUUGGUACCCAAAAGUCUCCUUUAGAAGUCAUUUAAUAAAA
This is a long non-coding RNA of Bolinopsis microptera, 4537 nucleotides long. RefSeq lists it as uncharacterized. The transcript has 2 exons. The record is from RefSeq and is a predicted model, not a curated record. Lineage: Eukaryota; Metazoa; Ctenophora; Tentaculata; Lobata; Bolinopsidae.